UGUUUGAGUUGAACUCAUUCAGUGUUUCACACAAUCCUUUAAACCCUUGUUUGUCUGUCAGCCUGUUCUUGACGAUUUCUUUCGAGCAGCAGUCUCUCUCUCUUUCUAGCUCUCAGCAUGGGGCGACACAUUGUUCUACUUCAUCAGACGGCAGACAGAAAAGUUUAAAAGACUUUGGCCCACUCGAAAUCAGCUGGAGCUGUGAAUGGAGCUGUGGAGUUCAGAUCAAGGGAUGUGUUUUUGGCUUCAGGGGAGCCCAGAACGAGCCUGUCUGAUCUUGUCUGGAGCGCUGCCUGGCAUGGAAUGGAAAAUACCCACCUCCUGCAUGAAAAUCAAGGAGAGCGAGAGGUGGAAAAUGGUUAAGGAAUGGAGCACAACAGUGACUUUGACAAAGUAUGUAUGCAUGUAUUUAUUUGUAUAUUACUUUAUGUUUAUAUUUUUAUUUAGAUGUUGUUGUUGAUGAUGAUUAACAAUAUAUAAGCAUCUUCCAACAUUCAUUCAUCUAUCUGCCUUCAUCAUAAAAAGAUGCUGUUUAUGUAAGAUGCUAUUAUACUGCUGCAGCUCAUGACAAGGUAAUUGAAGGGCCGAUAUCAGAUAUUAACAUGACCUAUGACUGAUAUAAAGAGAAAUAUCACUGUGCGACUAAAGUCAAACCUUAAUCAGCUGCUGACACUCCUGUAUAUGACCCAAAG
Cyprinus carpio carpio is the source of this 692-nucleotide long non-coding RNA. The record is from Ensembl. NCBI's taxonomy places the organism in Eukaryota, Metazoa, Chordata, Actinopteri, Cypriniformes, Cyprinidae.